CAGGCUUAACACAUGCAAGUCGAGGGGUAACGUGAAGCAAGCUUGCUUGCUUUGACGACGACCGGCGCACGGGUGAGUAACGAGUAUCCAACCUGCCCCUUACUACGGGACAGCCCGGCGAAAGUCGGAUUAAUACCGUAUGUGGUGUGAAGAGGGCAUCUGACUUACACUAAAGAUUCGUCGGUAAGGGAUGGGGAUGCGUCCGAUUAGGUUGUCGGCGGGGUAACGGCCCACCGAGCCCGCGAUCGGUAGGGGUUCUGAGAGGAAGGUCCCCCACACUGGAACUGAGACACGGUCCAGACUCCUACGGGAGGCAGCAGUGAGGAAUAUUGGUCAAUGGGCGAGAGCCUGAACCAGCCAAGUAGCGUGCAGGAAGACGGCCCUACGGGUUGUAAACUGCUUUUAUGCGGGGAUAACUGGGGGUACGUGUGCCCCUUUGCAGGUACCGCAUGAAUAAGGGCCGGCUAAUUCCGUGCCAGCAGCCGCGGUAAUACGGAAGGUCCGGGCGUUAUCCGGAUUUAUUGGGUUUAAAGGGAGCGCAGGCCGGAGGCUAAGCGUGCUGUGAAAUGUAGGCGCCCAACGUCUGAAUUGCAGCGCGAACUGGCUUUCUUGAGUGCGUGGGAAGUGGGCGGAAUUCGUGGUGUAGCGGUGAAAUGCUUAGAUAUCACGAAGAACUCCGAUUGCGAAGGCAGCCCACUGUUGCGUCACUGACGCUGAGGCUCGAAAGUGCGGGUAUCGAACAGGAUUAGAUACCCUGGUAGUCCGCACGGUAAACGAUGGAUGCCCGCUGUUUGCCCGUUUUGGGUGAGCGGCCAAGCGAAAGCAUUAAGCAUCCCACCUGGGGAGUACGCCGGCAACGGUGAAACUCAAAGGAAUUGACGGGGGCCCGCACAAGCGGAGGAACAUGUGGUUUAAUUCGAUGAUACGCUGAGGAACCUUACCCGGGCUUGAAUUGCAGCGGAAGGAUGCAGAGAAUGCUGACGCCCCUCGGGGCCGCUGUGAAGGUGCUGCAUGAUGUUGUCGUCAGCUCGUGCCGUGAGGUGUCGGCUUAAGUGCCAUAACGAGCGCAACCCCUCUCUUCAGUUGCCAUCGGUUCGAGCCGGGCACUCUGGAGACACUGCCGCCGCAAGGCGUGAGGAAGGUGGGGACGACGUCAAAUCAGCACGGCCCUUACGUCCGGGGCUACACACGUGUUACAAUGGGUGGUACAGAGAGCUGGGUGCCCGCAAGGUUGCCCGAAUCAAGAAAUCCAUCCUCAGUUCGGAUUAGGGUCUGCAACCCGACCCCAUGAAGCUGGAUUCGCUAGUAAUCGCGCAUCAGCCAUGGCGCGGUGAAUACGUUCCCGGGCCUUGUACACACCGCCCGUCAAGCCAUGAAAGCCGGGGGCGCCUGAAGUCCGUGACCGCGAGGGUCGGCCUAGGGUGAAACCGGUGAUUGGGGCUAAGUCGUAACAAGG
RNAcentral lists this ribosomal RNA (1456 nucleotides) under uncultured bacterium. RNAcentral describes it as "16S ribosomal RNA". It matches the Rfam family "Bacterial small subunit ribosomal RNA". The record is from RNAcentral.